This 255-nucleotide ribosomal RNA is filed under the name uncultured bacterium. RNAcentral's name for it is "partial 16S ribosomal RNA". It matches the Rfam family "Bacterial small subunit ribosomal RNA", at positions 524 to 776 of the family's 1533-position model. The record is from RNAcentral.
UACGGAGGGUGCAAGCGUUGUCCGGAAUUAUUGGGCGUAAAGAGCUCGUAGGCGGUCUGUCGCGUCUGCUGUGAAAACUCAGGGCUUAACCCUGAGCUUGCAGUGGGUACGGGCAGACUAGAGUGCGGUAGGGGAGACUGGAAUUCCUGGUGUAGCGGUGAAAUGCGCAGAUAUCAGGAGGAACACCGGUGGCGAAGGCGGGUCUCUAGUACGGUACUGACGCUGGAGAACGCGAAAGCGUGGGGAGCGAACAGG